Molecule: microRNA, 22 nt
Filed under: Sus scrofa (pig)
Lineage: Eukaryota; Metazoa; Chordata; Mammalia; Artiodactyla; Suidae
Description: ssc-miR-4337
Source: miRBase by way of RNAcentral
AGGGUAUAUAAGCCUUCACUGG